CGGACGGGUGAGUAAUGUCUGGGAAACUGCCUGAUGGAGGGGGAUAACUACUGGAAACGGUAGCUAAUACCGCAUAACGUCGCAAGACCAAAGAGGGGGACCUUAGGGCCUCUUGCCAUCGGAUGUGCCCAGAUGGGAUUAGCUAGUAGGUGGGGUAACGGCUCACCUAGGCGACGAUCCCUAGCUGGUCUGAGAGGAUGACCAGCCACACUGGAACUGAGACACGGUCCA
Molecule: ribosomal RNA, 231 nt
Filed under: uncultured bacterium
Lineage: Bacteria
Description: partial 16S ribosomal RNA
Rfam family: Bacterial small subunit ribosomal RNA
Source: RNAcentral